Molecule: ribosomal RNA, 349 nt
Filed under: bacterium enrichment culture clone Synr162_786_2.fa
Lineage: Bacteria
Description: bacterial SSU rRNA
Rfam family: Bacterial small subunit ribosomal RNA
Source: RNAcentral
GGGGGACAACGGCUGGAAACGGCCGCUAAUACCGCGUAAGCCGGAAGGUGAAAGGCCGCGCAAGCGGCUGCCGGUGGAUGGGUUCGCGUCCUAUCAGCUGGUUGGUGGGGUAAGGGCCUACCAAGGCGAAGACGGGUAGCCGGUCUGAGAGGGUGAUCGGCCACACUGGAACUGAGAUACGGUCCAGACUCCUACGGGAGGCAGCAGUGGGGAAUAUUGGGCAAUGGGGGGAACCCUGACCCAGCGACGCCGCGUGAGGGAAGAAGGUUUUCGGAUCGUAAACCUCUGUUGUACGGGAAGAAGGAAGUGACGGUACCGUACGAGGAAGCCCCGGCAAACUACGUGCCAC